Molecule: unclassified non-coding RNA, 337 nt
Filed under: soil metagenome
Description: partial contains 5.8S ribosomal RNA, internal transcribed spacer 2, and large subunit ribosomal RNA
Rfam family: 5.8S ribosomal RNA (bases 1-120)
Source: RNAcentral
GAUGAAGAACGCAGCGAAAUGCGAUAAGUAAUGUGAAUUGCAGAAUUCAGUGAAUCAUCGAAUCUUUGAACGCACAUUGCGCCCCUUGGUAUUCCGAGGGGCAUGCCUGUUCGAGCGUCAUUACACCACUCAAGCUAUGCUUGGUAUUGGGUGUCGUCCUUAGUUGGGCGCGCCUUAAAGACCUCGGCGAGGCCUCCCCGGCUUUAGGCGUAGUAGAAUUUAUUCGAACGUCUGUCAAAGGAGAGGAACUCUGCCGACUGAAACCUUCAUUUUUACAGGUUGACCUCGGAUCAGGUAGGGAUACCCGCUGAACUUAAGCAUAUCAAUAAGCGGAGGA